AGCAGCCGCGGUAAUUCCAGCUCCAAUAGCGUAUAUUAAAGUUGUUGCAGUUAAAAAGCUCGUAGUUGAAUUUCGGGAUUGGCGCAUCGGUCGUGCCUCACGGGGUAUGAACUGGUGCAGUCAAUUUCUCACCUUCUGGAGAACCGCGAUGUCCUUAAUUGGAUGCCGCGGGGAACCAGGACCUUUACUUUGAAAAAAUUAGAGUGUUUAAAGCAGGCAUUUUUGCUUGAAUACAUUAGCAUGGAAUAAUAAAAUAGGACGGCAUGGUUCUAUUUUGUUGGUUUCUAGGACCACCGUAAUGAUUAAUAGGGAUAGUUGGGGGCAUUAGUAUUCAAUUGUCAGAGGUGAAAUUCUUGGAUUUAUUGAAGACUAACUACUGCGAAAGCAUUUGCCAAGGAUGUUUUCAUUAAUCAAGAACGAAAGUUAGGGGAUCGAAGACGAUCAGAUACCGUCGUAGUCUUAACCAUAAACUAUGCCGACUAGGAAUCAGACGAUGUUAAUUUUUAAUGACU
This 512-nucleotide ribosomal RNA is filed under the name uncultured Entrophospora. RNAcentral describes it as "SSU rRNA". It matches the Rfam family "Eukaryotic small subunit ribosomal RNA", at positions 569 to 1076 of the family's 1831-position model. Lineage: Eukaryota; Fungi; Glomeromycota; Glomeromycetes; Entrophosporales; Entrophosporaceae. The record is from RNAcentral.